RNAcentral lists this ribosomal RNA (292 nucleotides) under uncultured bacterium. Its description in RNAcentral is "partial 16S ribosomal RNA". It matches the Rfam family "Bacterial small subunit ribosomal RNA", at positions 505 to 796 of the family's 1533-position model. The record is from RNAcentral.
GUUUCAGCCGCCGCGGUAAUACGGAGGAGGCAAGCGUUAUCCGGAAUUAUUGGGCGUAAAGCGUCCGUAGGUGGCUGAACAAGUCAGUUGUUAAAGAGUGGUGCUUAACACCAUGCCGGCGAUUGAAACUGUUUAGCUAGAGUUUGGUAGGGGUUACGGGAAUUCCCAGUGUAGCGGUGAAAUGCGUAGAUAUUGGGAAGAACACCGGUGGCGAAAGCGCGUAACUGGACCUGAACUGACACUGAGGGACGAAAGCUAGGGGAGCGAAAGGGAUUAGAAACCCUCGUAGUCC